AACGGCCCCAGGAGAAGUCAUUAACACACUGUGUGGAUACAAGACACUAAAUAAAGAGCGCCUGGAGCUGGUGGCCACUAUUCACGUACGUGGCUGCAUCCAUGCGGUCGGCUUGUGGCUUAAAGACAAUUUUGAAGCCACUUUUGGAAUUGUUUGCUCUCUGCUGUUUCCACAGGUAUGUAAAAAAUGUGUUGCUCCUGGCUGACUAUUCAGAGGUGUGUGUUUCCCCCCAAAACAGAGGUGAAGACAUUACUUCUUUGCUAUAGAUCACCAUGAAACUACAUUCCAAAUACUUUUUUUAGAGACAAAAUUCUGCAUUAAUUAAGCCAGAUGGUUGGGGUAUUGAUAAAAUUAUUGUCAAAAAUUAUUCAGUAUGGCUAUUUCCAUUAACUGACAGGCCCUCGUUUCUUCCUCUGGAAUUCUGAUCCUUACCUCGUUUUUUCAGAGACUCCAGAUAGCAACAUGGAAAAAUUGCCAGAGUUUGCUUCCAUGUUUUUUUCAACUUGAUUUGUGGCACUGAAAAUGGGUUGCAAUAAACCCCAAUUGCACUCCAGUCUAUCCAGAGUGGGAAGGCAAAGCACAGCUGAGGUUUUGCAGGUCUCCUGUACCUUUAACCAAAAGUUUCCUGCUGUUGCUUUCUGUUUCAUUGCUCAUGGACAUCAAGUGUCCUAGAUUCUAACCUUCAUAUCUAAUAAAACUUCUUUUAAAGGCAUAGAUACAUAGAUAAUUGAUCAGUGCAGAUAAUUUAUCAUACUUCUGGUUCAUAUAUCAUAAAAUUAUUCAGUCAUGUACCCAAAAAUGCUCUUGUUACUGUUUAACAGCCACUUAUGAUUAAUUCUCCAUUUGUAACAGCCAUGGCAUAUUUCAUUAGCUUUCAGUUGUGGUUCCAAUCUGUUACACAUAUCAGAAAACCACUCUGUCUCUUCAUCUCUAGGAAACUAACAUAAGGGAAGUCAUAAUACUGCUUUAUUCUGCCUUGGGAAAUCCUGUAUGUGGUUGGAGCCCUACAGCCUUUUUUAAUGUGUCCACAGACUCUUUCCAGUCAGCUAGUGCCAUGACCUUUGUAUCCAACAGGGACUGGGACACGAGAGUCAGAGGCUGCAGGCUCUUCACACUGAUGAAGAAUGAUGAUGUUGGUGACAAGCAGGCACCUCAUGUGUGUUGUUAACUAUCCUAAAGAGCCAGUUGUGGCAUAGUGGUUAGAGUGUCAGAAUAGAGCCUGGGAGACCAGGAUUCAAAUCCCUGCUCAGCCAUGAAGCUCACCGGAUGACCUUGAGCUAGUCACUGUCUCUCAGCCUGAUCUACCUCACAGGGUUGUUAUGAGGGUAAAAAUGAGAGGAGGGAAGUGUGUGCACCAUCUUGAGCUCCUUGAAGGGAAAAGUGGGGUUUAAGUGUGCCAAAUAAAUAUUAAGCCAGUU
Non-coding RNA from Podarcis muralis (Common wall lizard), 1418 nucleotides. NCBI's taxonomy places the organism in Eukaryota, Metazoa, Chordata, Lepidosauria, Squamata, Lacertidae. The record is from RefSeq and is a predicted model, not a curated record.